UACGUAGGGGGCCAGCGUUGUCCGGAAUCAUUGGGCGUAAAGAGCGUGUAGGCGGUCCGGUCAGUCCGCUGUGAAAGUCAAGGGCUCAACCCUUGAAUGCCGGCGGAAACUGCCGGGCUAGAGUCCGGAAGAGGCGAGUGGAAUUCCCGGUGUAGCGGUGAAAUGCGCAGAUAUCGGGAGGAACACCUAUGGCGAAGGCAGCUCGCUGGGACGGUACUGACGCUGAGACGCGAAAGCGUGGGGAGCAAACAGG
RNAcentral lists this ribosomal RNA (253 nucleotides) under uncultured bacterium. RNAcentral describes it as "partial 16S ribosomal RNA". It matches the Rfam family "Bacterial small subunit ribosomal RNA", at positions 524 to 776 of the family's 1533-position model. The record is from RNAcentral.